GUUAGGAAUAUUGGACAAUGGGCGCAAGCCUGAUCCAGCCAUGCCGCGUGAGUGAUGAAGGCCUUCGGGUUGUAAAGCUCUUUAGCCGAUGAUUAUAAUGACUGUAGUCGGAAAAUAAGCCCCGGCUAACUUCGUGCCAGCAGCCGCGGUAAUACGAAGGGGGCGAGCGUUAUUCGGAAUCACUGGGCGUAAAGCGUGCGUAGGCGGUUUUGUAAGUUAGGAGUGAAAGCCCAGGGCUCAACCCUGGAAUUGCUCUUAAAACUACAAGGCUAGAAUGUCGGAGAGGAUAGCGGAAUUUCCAGUGCAGCAGUGAAAUGCGUAGAUAUUGGAAGGAACACCAGUGGCGUAAGCGGCUAUCUGGACGACUAUUGACGCUGAGGCACGAAAGCGUGGGGAUCAAACAGGAUUAGAAACCCCGGUAGUCC
This 425-nucleotide ribosomal RNA is filed under the name uncultured bacterium. RNAcentral describes it as "partial 16S ribosomal RNA". It matches the Rfam family "Bacterial small subunit ribosomal RNA", at positions 354 to 796 of the family's 1533-position model. The record is from RNAcentral.